RNAcentral lists this ribosomal RNA (672 nucleotides) under Triticum aestivum (bread wheat). RNAcentral's name for it is "partial small subunit ribosomal RNA". The record is from RNAcentral. Lineage: Eukaryota; Viridiplantae; Streptophyta; Magnoliopsida; Poales; Poaceae.
AUGGACGCCGCCACCGACGGCGAGCAGCGGCGCCUCCUCUCCAUCCCCAAGGAGGGCGAGCGCGUCAUCGCGCCGACGCGCCGCCCGGACGGAACCCUCCGCAAGGAGAUCCGCAUCCGCGCCGGCUACGUCCCGCAGGACGAGGUCGCCAUCUAUCAGUCCAAGGGCGCCCUCAUGAAGAAGUCAGGGCCCGACGUGACGCCGGGGUACGACCCUGCGCUCGAUGCCAAGCCCAAGACGAAGGCGGCCAAGCGCAACGAGCGGCGCAAGGAGAAACGGCACCAGCAGGGUGGUUCAACAAAUGAUAAAGGGAAGAGCUUGGAUAUAGAGGCUGAUGCUGGAGAACCUGACAAGGUUCAUUCUUCCAAAACUAAGCAGAGGAAUACAGUGGACAGUAUAACAGAGCAGAUAAGUGGCAUUGCUAUUUCUGAAUCUCCAGCUACGGCAACCCCUUCCACAAAUGCUGCCAACAACUUACAAACAGAGUCAUCUGUUACAGAGAUAGAUAAGAAAAUCCGAGCACUGAAGAAAAAGAUACGCUUAGCUGAAGCCCAAGUGCAAGGGGACCCAGAAAAAUUGAAACCUGAGCAACUGGAGAAAACAAAAAAGAUUGAAGGAUGGCGUGAAGAGCUGAAGCUUUUGGAGUCUACAAGGGGUCAUGCUGCUUCGUAG